UGUGUAACUAAUAUUAAGUAUAUAUAUUUUAUUUAUAUAUUCUAUGAAUUUAU
This 53-nucleotide small RNA is filed under the name Plasmodium falciparum 3D7. Its description in RNAcentral is "Pfa-npcR7490". Lineage: Eukaryota; Apicomplexa; Aconoidasida; Haemosporida; Plasmodiidae. The record is from RNAcentral.